UGUAAAAUUUCAAAGGUCGAACAGACCUAAUGUUUUAGCUUCUACACCAAAAAUUUAUUUUAAUCCAACAUCGAGGUCGCAAUCUUUUUUUUUAAUAUGAACUUUCUAAAAAAAUUACGCUGUUAUCCCUAAGGUAAUUUUAUCUUAUAAUCAAAAAUUUUGGAUCAUCUACUCAUAAAUUUAUGAUUUCAAAUAAAAAAAGUUAUUUAAAUUUUUCAAUCACCCCAACAAAAUUAUUUUAUAAAAAUAUAAAUUUAAUUCUUAAAUCACAAUUUUAUAAAAUAAUUAAACUCUAUAGGGUCUUCUCGUCUUUUAAUUAUAAUUAAGCUUUUUAACUUAAAAAUAAACUUCUAUAAAAAUUUAAUAGAGACAGCUAUUUUCUUAUUCAACCCUUCAUUCCAGUUUUCAAUUAAAAAACUAAUGAUUAUGCUACCUUAGCACGGUCAAUAUACCACGGCCAUUUAAAAUCUCAGUGGGCAGGUCAGACCUUAAAUUAUAAACAAAAGGAC
Molecule: ribosomal RNA, 509 nt
Filed under: Cyrtonus ehlersi
Lineage: Eukaryota; Metazoa; Arthropoda; Insecta; Coleoptera; Chrysomelidae
Description: partial 16S ribosomal RNA
Source: RNAcentral